This 477-nucleotide ribosomal RNA is filed under the name uncultured bacterium. RNAcentral describes it as "partial 16S ribosomal RNA". It matches the Rfam family "Bacterial small subunit ribosomal RNA", at positions 28 to 507 of the family's 1533-position model. The record is from RNAcentral.
GAUGAACGCUGGCGGCGUGCCUAACACAUGCAAGUCGAACGAAGCACCUUACCUGAUUCUUCGGAUGAAAGUUUGGUGACUGAGUGGCGGACGGGUGAGUAACGCGUGGGUAACCUGCCCUGUACAGGGGGAUAACAGCUGGAAACGGCUGCUAAUACCGCAUAAGCGCACGAGGAGACAUCUCCUUGUGUGAAAAACUCCGGUGGUACAGGAUGGGCCCGCGUCUGAUUAGCUGGUUGGCAGGGUAACGGCCUACCAAGGCAACGAUCAGUAGCCGGUCUGAGAGGAUGAACGGCCACAUUGGAACUGAGACACGGUCCAAACUCCUACGGGAGGCAGCAGUGGGGAAUAUUGCAAAAUGGGGGAAACCCUGAUGCAGCAACGCCGCGUGAGUGAAGAAGUAUUUCGGUAUGUAAAGCUCUAUCAGCAGGGAAGAUAAUGACGGUACCUGACUAAGAAGCUCCGGCUAACUACGUG